CUCUAUGGCCAUACCACCAUGAAUGUGCCCAGUCUCAUGUAAUUUUGGAAUCUAAGCAGGGCCCUGCCCAGCUAGUACUUGGAUGGAAGACUGCCUGGAAAUACCAGGUGCUAUAGGGU
Ribosomal RNA from Cricetulus griseus (Chinese hamster), 119 nucleotides. Lineage: Eukaryota; Metazoa; Chordata; Mammalia; Rodentia; Cricetidae. The record is from Ensembl.